Long non-coding RNA from Lutra lutra (Eurasian river otter), 469 nucleotides. RefSeq lists it as uncharacterized. The record is from RefSeq and is a predicted model, not a curated record. NCBI's taxonomy places the organism in Eukaryota, Metazoa, Chordata, Mammalia, Carnivora, Mustelidae. The transcript is spliced from 3 exons.
CUGUGCUGGCCUCGGCACACGCUGAUCUGUUGCACUUGGCCUUCAUGUGAAAACCAUAGAAACCAGCUCUGGCUAACUUACUUAGGAAAAGAUUUUAGUGGAAGAAUAUUGGGCUGCUCACACUGGGUUAUCAGGAAGGCUGGAAAACAAGGGAGAUGCCAAGCCCCAGGGACAAGGGUUUGACUGGUCAAGCACAUGUCCCAGCUACCGCUCUGGUGGAGGAGUGAGGAGGCGAUAGGAGCCUCACAUCAUCUUCUGUAAUGGGAGGAGGUGGGCUCCCCUUGCCUGGGAGUCGUCUAGCAGAGGAAGGCCGUGGCCAUGACCCUUUCUGAUUCAGAGUCAGUGCAGGUCCACAUCUACCGACAGCCCUGGCACUGUCUUGGUGUUUCACCUCUUGGUGACUUGGGCGAUUGUUGUCGGACUCUGUGAAGUGCCACGUAUUGUCUCCCCGUGGCAUUCGAGGAAACUG